This 480-nucleotide ribosomal RNA is filed under the name uncultured bacterium. Its description in RNAcentral is "partial 16S ribosomal RNA". It matches the Rfam family "Bacterial small subunit ribosomal RNA", at positions 28 to 523 of the family's 1533-position model. The record is from RNAcentral.
GAUGAACGCUGGCGGCGUGCUUAACACAUGCAAGUCGAGCGAUGAAGUUUCCUUCGGGAAACGGAUUAGCGGCGGACGGGUGAGUAACACGUGGGUAACCUGCCUCAUAGAGUGGAAUAGCCUUCCGAAAGGAAGAUUAAUACCGCAUAACGUUGAAAGAUGGCAUCAUCAUUCAACCAAAGGAGCAAUCCGCUAUGAGAUGGACCCGCGGCGCAUUAGCUAGUUGGGGGGGUAACGGCCUACCAAGGCGACGAUGCGUAGCCGACCUGAGAGGGUGAUCGGCCACAUUGGGACUGAGACACGGCCCAGACUCCUACGGGAGGCAGCAGUGGGGAAUAUUGCACAAUGGGGGAAACCCUGAUGCAGCAACGCCGCGUGAGUGAUGAAGGUUUUCGGAUCGUAAAGCUCUGUCUUUGGGGAAGAUAAUGACGGUACUCAAGGAGGAAGCCACGGCUAACUACGUGCCAGCCGCCGCAGUAA